AUGGCGGCCGCCUGGGCCUCCAGGCCCGCUUCUGCGGAGGCCGUGGCCACCCGUCUGCUGUGGCUCCUGACCGUCACCACGAGACCUUAGGCGAUUCCCACCGCCGGGGACAAGGAGACAUUUAAGUGCGAGGACCUCAAAGUGGGACAAUAUAUUUGUAAAGAUCCCCAAAUAAAUGAUGCUACACAAGAACCAGUUAACUGUACAAACUACACAGCUCAUGCCCAAUGUUUUCCAGCACCCAACAUAACCUGUAAGGAUUUCAGUAGCAACGAAACACAUUUUACUGGAAAUGAAAUUGGUUUUUACAAGCCUAUAUCAUGCCGAAAUGUAAAUGGUUAUUCAUACAAAGUAGCAGUUGCAUUGUCUCUUUUCCUUGGAUGGUUGGGAGCAGAUGGAUUUUAUCUUGGAUACCCUGCCUUGGAUUUAUUAAAGUUUUGCACUGUAGGAUUUUGUGGAAUUGGGAGCCUAAUUGAUUUUAUUCUUAUUUCAAUGCAGAUUGUUGGACCUUCAGAUGGAACUAGUUACAUUAUAGAUUACUAUGGAACCAGACUUACAAGACUGAGUAUCACUAAUGAAACAUUUAGAAAAACACAGUUAUAUCCAUAGAUACUUUAAUAAACAGAGUGGAGUCUCCUUGAUUUUAACAGAGAAUACCCAGUAUGUGGAUUUCCAGAUAUUCCUUUUUCUUCGUCACACACCACUGGAUGGGUUCCAUCUGAUCAUUUUUUUUCAUGUCAUCAUUUUUGAUCUAGUUAAAUGUAUAUUCUCUGGGCACUAGCAGCUCACACCUGUAAUCCUAACUACUUAG
This is an RNA transcript of Dipodomys spectabilis (banner-tailed kangaroo rat), 811 nucleotides long. It is a transcript of the gene named TM2 domain-containing protein 1-like, with no coding region annotated. NCBI's taxonomy places the organism in Eukaryota, Metazoa, Chordata, Mammalia, Rodentia, Heteromyidae. The record is from RefSeq and is a predicted model, not a curated record. The transcript has a single exon.